Molecule: non-coding RNA, 45 nt
Filed under: Drosophila guanche
Lineage: Eukaryota; Metazoa; Arthropoda; Insecta; Diptera; Drosophilidae
Rfam family: Histone 3' UTR stem-loop
About the family: The mRNAs of metazoan histone genes lack a poly-A tail. 3' end processing occurs at a site between a highly conserved stem-loop (modelled by this family) and a purine rich region around 20 nts downstream (the histone downstream element, or HDE). The stem-loop is bound by a 31 kDa stem-loop binding protein (SLBP - also termed the histone hairpin binding protein, or HBP).
Source: RNAcentral
AAAAAGGCCCUUUUCAGGGCCACAAAAAUGUUUUUCCAAAGAAUG